AUUGAACGCUGGCGGCAGGCUUAACACAUGCAAGUCGAGCGGGGUGAUGGUGCUUGCACUAUCACUUAGCGGCGGACGGGUGAGUAAUGCUUAGGAAUCUGCCUAUUAGUGGGGGACAACAUCUCGAAAGGGAUGCUAAUACCGCAUACGUCCUACGGGAGAAAGCAGGGGAUUACUUGUGACCUUGCGCUAAUAGAUGAGCCUAAGUCGGAUUAGCUAGUUGGUGGGGUAAAGGCCUACCAAGGCGACGAUCUGUAGCGGGUCUGAGAGGAUGAUCCGCCACAAUGGGACUUAGACACGGCCCAGACUCCUACGGGAGGCAGCAGUGGGGAAUAUUGGACAAUGGGGGGAACCCUGAUCCAGCCAUGCCGCGUGUGUGAAGAAGGCCUUAUGGUUGUAAAGCACUUUAAGCGAGGAGGAGGCUCUUUUGGUUAAUACCCAAGAUGAGUGGACGUUACUCGCAGAAUAAGCACCGGCUAACUCUGUGCCAGCCGCCGCAGUAA
Molecule: ribosomal RNA, 503 nt
Filed under: uncultured bacterium
Lineage: Bacteria
Description: partial 16S ribosomal RNA
Rfam family: Bacterial small subunit ribosomal RNA
Source: RNAcentral